GAAGAGAUUCCUGUAAUGGCGGCUUCCUGGAAGGUAGUGUCAUGUGGAACCUCUUAAUCUCAGCACCUGGAGCUCCAGGAAGGGGAAUUUCAAGUCAGAUAGAAUUCUAUAUAUACCAUUUCUUUGGAACCUUCAGCCCUCAAGAUUCCAACAUCAUUACCUCAGUUUCAACACAGUUGUCCUUAGUCCUCAUAUCACUGCUUUUGGUGCUGCCUGUUGUCAAAGUGGUAGAAGCCAGUGAUGCAAUUGUCCUCUUGUUAGGUGUGGUUCUCAGCAUUACAGGCAUUUGUGCCUGCUUGGGGGUACAUGCACGAAA
Molecule: long non-coding RNA, 316 nt
Filed under: Homo sapiens (human)
Lineage: Eukaryota; Metazoa; Chordata; Mammalia; Primates; Hominidae
Description: non-protein coding lnc-GRAMD2B-19:1
Source: RNAcentral